RNAcentral lists this ribosomal RNA (491 nucleotides) under uncultured bacterium. RNAcentral's name for it is "partial 16S ribosomal RNA". It matches the Rfam family "Bacterial small subunit ribosomal RNA", at positions 29 to 507 of the family's 1533-position model. The record is from RNAcentral.
AUGAACGCUAGCUACAGGCUUAACACCUGCAAGUCGAGGGGAAACGACAUCGAAAGCUUGCUUUUGAUGGGCGUCGACCGGCGCACGGGUGAGUAACGCGUAUCCAACCUGCCCAUCACUUGGGAAUAACCUUGCGAAAGUAAGGCUAAUACCCAAUGAUAUCCCACGAAGGCAUCGGAAUGGGAUUAAAGAUUUAUCGGUGAUGGAUGGGGAUGCGUCUGAUUAGCUUGUUGGCGGGGUAACGGCCCACCAAGGCAACGAUCAGUAGGGGUUCUGAGAGGAAGGUCCCCCACAUUGGAACUGAGACACGGUCCAAACUCCUACGGGAGGCAGCAGUGAGGAAUAUUGGUCAAUGGGCGAGAGCCUGAACCAGCCAAGUAGCGUGCAGGAAGACGGCCCUAUGGGUUGUAAACUGCUUUUAUAAGGGAAUAAAGUGGGUCACGUGUGACUUUUUGCAUGUACCUUAUGAAUAAGGACCGGCUAAUUCCGUG